CCUGCCUUUAAGACGAGGAUAACAACCGGAAGGUUACUAAGACUGGAUAGGAAACAAAAAGGCAUCUUUUUGUUUUUAAAAGACCUUCUUACGAAGGUAUGCUUAAAGAGGGGCUUGCGCCACAUUAGUUAGUUGGUAGAGUAAAAGCCUACCAAGACGAUGAUGUGUAGCUGGACUGAGAGGUUGAACAGCCACAUUGGGACUGAGACACGGCCCAAACUCCUACGGGAGGCAGCAGUAGGGAAUUUUCGGCAAUGGAGGAAACUCUGACCGAGCAACGCCGCGUGAACGAUGAAGUAUUUCGGUAUGUAAAGUUCUUUUAUUGAAGAAGAAAAAGUAGUGGAAAAACUAUAUUGACGUUAUUCAAUGAAUAAGCCCCGGCUAACUAUGUGCCAGCAGCCGCGGUAAGACAUAGGGGGCGAGCGUUAUCCGGAAUUAUUGGGCGUAAAGGGUGCGUAGGCUGUUAGAUAAGUCUAUAAUUUAAUUUCAGUGCUUAACGCUGUCUUGUUAUAGAAACUGUCUUGACUAGAGUGAGAUAGAGGCAAGCGGAAUUCCAUGUGUAGCGGUAAAAUGUGUAAAUAUAUGGAGGAACACCAGAAGCGUAGGCGGCUUGCUGGGUCUUUACUGACGCUGAGGCACGAAAGCGUGGGUAGCAAACAGGAUUAGAUACCCUGGUACUCCAUAGUCGUAAACGAUGAGUACUAAGUGUCGGGGUGAAGACGUCGGUACUGACGUUAGCCCAUUAAGUACUCCGCCUGAGUAGUACGUACGCAAGUAUGAAACUUAAAGGAAUUGACGGGGGCUCCGCACAAGCGGUGGAUCAUGUUGUUUAAUUCGAAGAUACACGAAAAAUCCUGACGAAGACUUGACAUACUCUGCAAAGCUAUAGAAAUAUAGUGGAGGUUAUCAGGGAUACACAGGUGGCACAUGGCUGUUGUCAGCUCGUGUCGUGAGAUUAGGGGAAAAGUCCCGCAACGAGCGCAACCCCUGUCCAAUGUCCCCAGCAUAUGAUUGGGGGGACUCACGGGAGACCCAAUUAGACAAAUCGGAGGAAGGUGGGGAUGAUGUCAAGUCAUCAUGCCCCUUAUGUUUGGGGCUACAAACGUGAUACAAUGGCUGUGACAAAGAGUAGCUGAAACGCGAGUUUUUAGCCAAUCUCAAAAAAGCAGUCUCAGUUCGGAUUGAAGUCUGUAACUCGACUUCAUGAAGUUGGAAUCGCUAGUAAUCGCGGAUCAGCAACGCCGCGGUGAAUACGUUCCCGGGCCUUGCACACACCGCCCGUCACACCACGAAAGUUAGCAAUGCCCGAAAGCAGUAGCUUAACUUCGCAAGAAGAGGGAACUGUCUAAGG
Molecule: ribosomal RNA, 1351 nt
Filed under: Brinjal little leaf phytoplasma
Lineage: Bacteria; Bacillati; Mycoplasmatota; Mollicutes; Acholeplasmatales; Acholeplasmataceae
Description: bacterial SSU rRNA
Rfam family: Bacterial small subunit ribosomal RNA
Source: RNAcentral